Molecule: non-coding RNA, 195 nt
Filed under: Kibdelosporangium aridum
Lineage: Bacteria; Bacillati; Actinomycetota; Actinomycetes; Pseudonocardiales; Pseudonocardiaceae
Source: RNAcentral
CCUGAGCACUACAUGUAGGGUCUGCGUCGUCGAUGCGACAAGGGAACCCGGUGCGAGUCCGGGACUGCCCCGCAGCGGUGAGCGGGAACGACCGCCGUCAUUGAAGCACUGGGCGUGAGUCUGGGAAGCGACGGCCAGUAGGUCCAGGCAUGGGUGCCCGCGAGUCCGAAGACCUGCCAUCGAUGCGUGCGCCGU